AGGAUUUUAGUAUAAGUUAGUACGUUUCAUUGUCUUUGUUUUGGUUUUUGGUCCUU
This 56-nucleotide transfer RNA is filed under the name Dracunculus medinensis (Guinea worm). RNAcentral describes it as "tRNA-Asp". Lineage: Eukaryota; Metazoa; Nematoda; Chromadorea; Rhabditida; Dracunculidae. The record is from RNAcentral.